GUGCUCGCUUCAGCAGCACAGAUACUAAAAUUGGGACGAUACAGACAUUAGCAUGGCACCUGCACAAAGAUGACAUGCAACUCCAUAUUUUUCAUUCUUUU
RNAcentral lists this small nuclear RNA (101 nucleotides) under Erinaceus europaeus (western European hedgehog). Lineage: Eukaryota; Metazoa; Chordata; Mammalia; Eulipotyphla; Erinaceidae. The record is from RNAcentral.